RNAcentral lists this ribosomal RNA (253 nucleotides) under uncultured bacterium. RNAcentral's name for it is "partial 16S ribosomal RNA". It matches the Rfam family "Bacterial small subunit ribosomal RNA", at positions 524 to 776 of the family's 1533-position model. The record is from RNAcentral.
UACGUAGGUGGCAAGCGUUGUCCGGAUUUACUGGGCGUAAAGAGCGCGCAGGCGGUCGUAUAAGUCGAAUGUGAAAGCCCCCGGCUCAACUGGGGAGGGUCAUUCGAUACUGUUCGACUCGAAGGCAGGAGAGGGAAGUGGAAUUCCGGGUGUAGUGGUGAAAUGCGUAGAUAUCCGGAGGAACACCAGUGGUGAAGGCGACUUUCUGGCCUGUUCUUGACGCUGAGGCGCGAAAGCUAGGGGAGCAAACGGG